Pongo pygmaeus (Bornean orangutan) is the source of this 685-nucleotide long non-coding RNA. RefSeq lists it as uncharacterized. Lineage: Eukaryota; Metazoa; Chordata; Mammalia; Primates; Hominidae. The transcript has 4 exons. The record is from RefSeq and is a predicted model, not a curated record.
GCACAUGCCUGGGAUCCUGUGCAGGUCACCUAGCACCGGACACAGAGCGGCUUGGACAGCUGGACAGAGGGUGGCUGAAGAGUUAGAGAUCUGAGUUAAGCGUGCAGGGCUCCAAGGUUAAGAUCCUGCUGGAGGGCGUGGCUCCUGCACAAGAUUUUUUACUCCUGAGGGCCCAAAUGAGGGAUGCUUUCCUCCAGAGAUUUCUGUCUAGUUCUGCUGUGAAUCAGGUGCACCAAAGACUUGAAGACAUGUCCAUCACCUUUGAGCAUCUCAUAUCUGCAAGGACUGCCAAACUCAACUCCUCCACCUUGCUCUUUGUCCCAGGCUCAGGAUCCUAAUUGCAAUGAGUCAUCUUCCUAGAGAAGGCAGCUUCCGUAGGAUUCUAGCCCUGCAUGGUAUGAGUUCCAGACUGGAGGUGGAGGGAGAGAUAAGAGCAGCCUCCAUGAAGAUGUGAUUCUUGAUCUGAGACUUGCGGGGUCAGCAGCUCCUUGGCCAACAGAUGGGAGAAUGGGAAAAGGGAGAGGUUUGUAGGAAAUGAAGGCUGGGAGAGGCAAAGCCAAUUGGCUCAAGGUCACAUCCAUGAACAUUUCUCUAAAGUUCUACUUUCCAGACCACAGCAAGUCAGCAAGAUCAAGAGGGUCUUAGAAUAAGUUCUUGACAAAAAGAAUAAACCUCCGUCUCACCC